Molecule: long non-coding RNA, 1907 nt
Organism: Cyanistes caeruleus (blue tit)
Lineage: Eukaryota; Metazoa; Chordata; Aves; Passeriformes; Paridae
Source: Ensembl
GUUCCUCUGGACUUCUUUGACAGAAAAUGUGAAGAACAAAAAGCCCUCCAGGCAGUGAGAAGAAUCACUGUGAUUCAUCCCAUGGAGCAAUUUGAAUUGUCUUCUGGAACAUGAAUAACUGUUUCUGCUGACUGGCAACUUCUUUGUUUGAAGGUCUCUCAGGCUACUGUUCUUCUAAGCUAUUUCUAACCACCUACACUCUCCAAGAAAGGCAGAAAAUCUGUGCCACUGCAAGAGACCACUCUUGCCCUUGAUAACUAUCCAGACCAGACUGAGCUAUCAGGCCUGGAUGAUCCAUGCACAGCAAAAGAACAAUUCUACAGCAGCAACGGAGACAAAGCUGACUCCUCUGUCACUGGCCACUGAAUCAGAACAUGGUUUUCCAGGGAGAGAGAAAGAUGUUGUGAGAGAGGAUAAGGUUAGGAGAGCUUUCAUGAGAAUGUGGCUGAGCUAGGGAUAACUGCUUCCCUAUUAAACUCAGCUCUGUAUUCUUAGGAUCCCUUUUUAUUGCUGUCAAGCAGGAAAGCAUUAUAUGACUCACUUUACAGCUCAUAUCUGAAAAUUGACUGGCAGCCUAAGUGAAGCUAACUGGUCAUUGUCGUAUGAUGUGCAUGUUAAGAUGACAGGAACAGGAAGCUGGAGAGUACCCAGAAACAGGCUUAGCAGCAGAAGUCUGUAUUCUCUCAAAAUCCUUCUCUUGUGUGUUCCUACAUAUCUAGCCCUUUCCGGACUGUGCUCAGCCUUUCUGUGCAAGUCAGGAGCUGCAAAAGUGCUGUUCAUUAGGAUGAACUCUUUGUGCUCUGAAGAGGCUUCAAAACAAGUCAGUAAGCAACAUAGCUACCCCAAGCACCAAAGAUCAGAGUAUGCUGCAGGCUCCACUGGGGAAGGUUAUAGCAUGCAGUGAGAACAGAGUUCAAAGUGGGUGAUGCUCUUGCAAAUGAGUAGCAGAAGACCUGCUAUUCUCUAAACCUGAAACAUUCUCUAAACCUGAAACAAGCCUGGUUGCUGCAGUCAGCUUGCAAGGUCUUCUGUGUGAAGUGUCUUACUGACAGUGAAAACUACCAUUUUCUGUAGGAAAUCUUCUGGUAAUUAAUCAUAUUUUCUAUUUUCCCCAUUAAUUCUACUAUAAUCUGAUCAUGCCCGAUACAGCUUUCCAAGGACUUUUAACUGCAACUCUUCCACCACCAUUCACUGAAUAUCAGUCAGGUGAGAUUGUUGCACUGGCCAAGAAAAAACAUUUAAGACUUGCACUGGAUUUUCAGACUGAAAGGGGUAAGCCUGGGAUGACAACAUGCCUGAUGCUGUCUUAGAGAUAUCAUCUAUAACUAGGUAUUUGUUAUUUUGAUUGAUGUGUUCAUAUGCUUCCAGGUAAACACAAAUGUUAAAAUGUUAAAAUGUUAAAAUUAAUAGUUAAUUAGAGGAACUACUGGCCAUAACAACAAUAAUUGAAUAUUAUGGUAGCAACAAUGGUUUUUGUGCACUCACUGAUCACUAAUGUCUCCUGUCUCCUUUGUUUGUGCAGACUGCUCAAAGAACUGUCUAUUCCUCACAUUUACCAAGCUGCUCCAGAUGGGGACUCUGAAGGAAUGGAGUGAAAGUAAUACCAAGGAAAUUGUUCAAAAUUUGUUCAUGAAGAAAACAAGCUCGAGAGGGACAAGGGAUGUUCAGGCUCCAUUCCACUUUCCUUCACAGUGGCUUUUUCGUAAUUCAAAUGUCAUAGGCUAGAUCAGUAUAUUUACAAUGAGCUCUUCAGUCUCUUCUUUCAAGGAUCUUGCCUCUUCCAAAAGAGAGAUGUGACAGUUUCAAGUGGAAUGGUUCUUGCAGGUGAUUUUCUUUAUAUGGACAAAGUAAAACCAACAAAACCAGAACAUAAUAAACCUCACAUACCCAGUGAAGAGAAUAAACUU